This 478-nucleotide ribosomal RNA is filed under the name uncultured bacterium. RNAcentral describes it as "bacterial SSU rRNA". It matches the Rfam family "Bacterial small subunit ribosomal RNA", at positions 28 to 502 of the family's 1533-position model. The record is from RNAcentral.
GAUGAACGCUAGCGGCAGGCCUAAUACAUGCAAGUCGAACGGUGACAUUCUCGCUUGCGAGAGAUGACGAGUGGCGCACGGGUGCGUAACGCGUAUGCAACCUACCCUUAACUGGAGGAUAGCCCGGAGAAAUUCGGAUUAAUACUCCAUAGUAUCACCAGAUGGCAUCUGAAGGUGAUUAAAGAUUUAUUGGUUAAGGAUGGGCAUGCGUGACAUUAGUUAGUUGGUGAGGUAACGGCUCACCAAGACAACGAUGUCUAGGGGUUCUGAGAGGAUGAUCCCCCACACUGGUACUGAGAUACGGACCAGACUCCUNACGGGAGGCAGCAGUAGGGAAUAUUGGUCAAUGGGCGAGAGCCUGAACCAGCCAUGCCGCGUGCAGGAAGACGGCCUUCUGGGUUGUAAACUGCUUUUAUACAGGAACAAAUAGUCCAUGCGUGGAAAGUUGAGUGUACUGUAUGAAUAAGCACCGCUAACU